This 79-nucleotide unclassified non-coding RNA is filed under the name Algibacter luteus. RNAcentral's name for it is "Arenitalea lutea Flavo-1 RNA". The record is from RNAcentral. Lineage: Bacteria; Pseudomonadati; Bacteroidota; Flavobacteriia; Flavobacteriales; Flavobacteriaceae.
AUGUGUUAGUGAUUGCCGUGGUUAGCUUUUGGCAAGGCGCGCAUCGAGCCAAAACUAUGAACAAAAAGCACGACCGCGC